UCGCGUCAACUAAAAUUAUAAUAAAAGGCAUUUGAUUUGUCAUGGUCAAAAAUCUGACAUUCGGAUUUUAUCAUUUCCGUUGAUUAAUGAUGCGCGCGGUUUACUGAAAAAACGCUCCUCCAAUUGCAAUCGCCACGUCGGCAGUGGCGCUUAGGCUUAACGAUCUUGGGCAGGAUUGGGAGACGUCAACCUAGUUCUUCAAUUAACUGGUCCUGACCACGAGCAUGUCAAGAGACCUUCAGAACGAACAUGAAUGAAACGACACGAACAUGAAUGAAACGACACGAACAGGCGAUUCACCUACGAAUUUAACUGAUUAUACAGAGAUACAGAAGUAAUAGAAUCUCUUUUCUUUUCCUCGCUAAAGAUUUAUACAAAGAUGAAGCGACACGAACAUGAACUCUCCUAUCCGCCGUCCGUCGACCGACCGGUCGAUCAGUGCACGAGGUAGGUGACGGCAAGCGCGGCGGCCAUGAGCAGGUACGCCACGGCCUGGUCGACCCUCCUGCCGUCGCCGGCCACGGCCGCCAACCCCUCCGCCUUCCUCGCCCCGCCCUGCGCCGCGCCGGCAGCGGGCACGUCGACGUUCGCCGCGCGAGCCAUCGCGUGAUGACCGAUGAACGACCCGCUCACAAGAAUCGGCUCGACCGACGGUAUGCCGGGUCCUUCCCUGGUGAGCCGACGAAGAAGAAAGAAGAUCUGGAUCCGGGCUGUGGGUGUUGGUCGUGGCCAGUUUGUGCUUGGUGGAGAGGCGGUGGAUCUGGCGUGUUUAUAUAGCGGGAUAGGAUUUGGGAGGGUAUUACGGGCCGGAUUCCCGGUCAAACGUGCCUGCCUGCCGGCCUUUUGCUUGGGCGCGUAAAAGUCGUUUGCUCGGAAGCUUCUGCGGUGUUUCCACGUGGCUGAGACGAGGAUGCCGCGUCCAAAUCGAAUCAGCUCGGCUUUGGCUUUUGGCCAAGCGUCACCGAUGAGAACUUCUAGUAGACUAGACUAGUCAUCGUCGAGAUAAGUUUUUUUGAACCAAUCAUCAAGAUAAUUAAAACUGUUAAAAUAUGUACGAAAGAAAAAAUAGAAGGUAGUCGUACUAGAAGAGGUGGACUGGUCUGGUCGCCUUGUGGUGCAAAUGAUGCACUAGCCGUAGUUCACGUAUUUAGACUUCGCGAAAAAACUAAAGUAAGAGUAGGGAAAAGGUGUGGCUAAACGUAGUACGCCACCUUAUCUAUUGACCUCGUUUUUGUUUCUCCCAAACGAGAAAAAUGCAUGGAAUUCAAACUUCUCGGGUCAACGAUAG
Molecule: long non-coding RNA, 1288 nt
Filed under: Triticum aestivum (bread wheat)
Lineage: Eukaryota; Viridiplantae; Streptophyta; Magnoliopsida; Poales; Poaceae
Description: long non-coding RNA (TAES_LNC028574)
Source: RNAcentral